CUGUGGUCCUAAGACACGUGAUGAGACAGAUAUCUCGGAGUAUUCACCACGCCGAGAGAACCGUUGAUUGUGGGUUGAAAUCAAACAUGCAGAGAAAACAGAACGUAAGAGUUUCUUAACGAAACAAAACUUUCAACAACGGAUCUCUUGGCUCUCGCAUUCUUAUUGUAAGAACGCAGCGAAAUUGUCUUCAUCCAGUAAUGUGAAUUGCAGAAUUCAGUGAAUCAUCGAAUCUUUGAACGCACCUUGCGCCUUUUGGUAUUCCGAAAGGCAUGCCUGUUUCAGUGUCAUGAAAUCUCAAUCUAAUAUGUUUUCUGAACAUGUUAGACUUGGACUUGGGCGUCUGCCAGUGAUGGCUCGCCUCAAAUGACUUAUUGUAUUUUUUCUACAUCAGUGUUAGACGUAAUAAGUUUCGUCUCUCCUUGUGGUGAUGACUGCUCAGAACCUGCCUCGCGCACUUUUGCUUUGACCUGAAAUCAGGUAGGGCUACCCGUGAACUUCAGCUAUCAAUACGCGGACGAAGGCUCAUUAUUGAUUGGUCAAAGACUUAUCAGAUCUACCCCUCUGUGAACCGAUGACUCCGGUCGUAAUCAACUCAUGUACAACGUAAGAUUCUUAACAAACAAAAUUUUAAAACCG
RNAcentral lists this ribosomal RNA (639 nucleotides) under Papiliotrema terrestris. Its description in RNAcentral is "eukaryotic LSU rRNA". The stretch from base 128 to 290 matches the Rfam family "5.8S ribosomal RNA". The record is from RNAcentral. Lineage: Eukaryota; Fungi; Basidiomycota; Tremellomycetes; Tremellales; Rhynchogastremaceae.